CCUACGGGAGGCAGCAGUGAGGAAUAUUGGUCAAUGGUCGGGAGACUGACCCAGCCAAGCCGCGUGAGGGAUGAAGGUACACUGUAUUGUAAACCUCUUUUGUCGGAGAACAAAGGCGGGGACGUGUCCCCGUCUGAGUGUAUCUGAAGAAAAAGCAUCGGCUAACUCCGUGCCAGCAGCCGCGGUAAUACGGAGGAUGCGAGCGUUAUCCGGAUUUAUUGGGUUUAAAGGGUGCGCAGGCGGUCUGUUAAGUCAGCGGUAAAAUCCCGGGGCUCAACCCCGGCCCGCCGUUGAAACUGGCAGUCUCGAGUGGGAGAGAAGUAUGCGGAAUGCGCGGUGUAGCGGUGAAAUGCAUAGAUAUCGCGCAGAACUCCGAUUGCGAAGGCAGCGGGCCGGCUCCACACUGACGCUGAGGCACGAAAGCGUGGGUAUCGAACAGGAUUAGAUACCCGGGUAGUC
This 459-nucleotide ribosomal RNA is filed under the name uncultured bacterium. RNAcentral describes it as "partial 16S ribosomal RNA". It matches the Rfam family "Bacterial small subunit ribosomal RNA", at positions 338 to 795 of the family's 1533-position model. The record is from RNAcentral.